GGACGAACGCUGGCGGCGUGCUUAACACAUGCAAGUCGAACGGAAAGGCCCUGCUUUUGUGGGGUGCUCGAGUGGCGAACGGGUGAGUAACACGUGAGUAACCUGCCCUUGACUUUGGGAUAACUUCAGGAAACUGGGGCUAAUACCGGAUAGGAGCUCCUGCUGCAUGGUGGGGGUUGGAAAGUUUCGGCGGUUGGGGAUGGACUCGCGGCUUAUCAGCUUGUUGGUGGGGUAGUGGCUUACCAAGGCUUUGACGGGUAGCCGGCCUGAGAGGGUGACCGGCCACAUUGGGACUGAGAUACGGCCCAGACUCCUACGGGAGGCAGCAGUGGGGAAUAUUGCACAAUGGGCGGAAGCCUGAUGCAGCAACGCCGCGUGCGGGAUGACGGCCUUCGGGUUGUAAACCGCUUUCGCCUGUGACGAAGCGUGAGUGACGGUAAUGGGUAAAGAAGCACCGGCUAACUACGCG
This 469-nucleotide ribosomal RNA is filed under the name uncultured bacterium. Its description in RNAcentral is "partial 16S ribosomal RNA". It matches the Rfam family "Bacterial small subunit ribosomal RNA", at positions 27 to 507 of the family's 1533-position model. The record is from RNAcentral.